AGUGAACGCUGGCGGCAGGCCUAAUACAUGCAAGUCGAACGGCAGCACAGCAGAGCUUGCUCUGUGGGUGGCGAGUGGCGGACGGGUGAGGAAUACAUGGGAAUCUGCCCAGUCGUGGGGGAUAACGUAUGGAAACGUACGUUAAUACCGCAUGCGCCCUACGGGGGAAAGCCGGGGACCGCAAGGCCUGGCGCGAUUGGAUGAGCCCAUGUUCGAUUAGCUAGUUGGCGGGGUAAAGGCCCACCAAGGCGACGAUCGAUAGCUGGUCUGAGAGGAUGAUCAGCCACACUGGAACUGAGACACGGUCCAGACUCCUACGGGAGGCAGCAGUAGGGAAUAUUGGACAAUGGGGGCAACCCUGAUCCAGCCAUGCCGCGUGAGUGAAGAAGGCCCUCGGGUUGUAAAGCUCUUUUGUCCGGAAAGAAAAGCAAUCGGUUAAUACCCGGUUGUCUGACGGUACCGAGAAUAAGCACCGGUAACUUCGUGCCAGC
This 491-nucleotide ribosomal RNA is filed under the name uncultured bacterium. Its description in RNAcentral is "bacterial SSU rRNA". It matches the Rfam family "Bacterial small subunit ribosomal RNA", at positions 29 to 512 of the family's 1533-position model. The record is from RNAcentral.